RNAcentral lists this small RNA (280 nucleotides) under Arabidopsis thaliana (thale cress). RNAcentral describes it as "ATSL041610". Lineage: Eukaryota; Viridiplantae; Streptophyta; Magnoliopsida; Brassicales; Brassicaceae. The record is from RNAcentral.
UUUUUUCUUUCUUGGUUUUGGAUGUGUGAAGAGAAUGUGUGUCAUCUCUGCAGCUCCUAAAUGUCGUGUAGUCUUCAUAAGGGUGAAUAUAAACUGCAAGAAGUCUUCAAGUACAUCAGGUGGCUCUUUGGUUAGGUUAAGUUUGUCAACUAGAUCGUCAGUUGGUUCUUCAGGAAGUCUGUCAGAAAGUCCUUCAGCCGGUUCAUCAGCAAGUCUAUCAGGUGGUCAGUCAGUGAGUCCAUCAGCUACAAUGUCAGCUUCCAUUCUUAUAUCACCCCCU